GAACCGCAGAAGCAACGGAGAAAGAUCAACGUAGAGAUAUGUCUACACUACACUACACUCAAACAAAAAGGAGAUAUGUCUCGGUCAAAAAGAAUAAAAGAAGGUUGAAAUCAAAAACAGUAAAAGAAGGUUCUUCGGUCAAUGGAGAAAAAGGAGAAGAGAAAAAAGAUUCGGCACACAACAUAAAGAAAAGGGAAAAGAGAAGGGCAAAAAAUGGCAACAAGAGAAGAAGAAAUCGAAAAGAAAGAAGAAAAAAAAGAUGAGGGAGGAAAGUCUGUUCGGCCAAAAAGAAAUUAGGUAAAAACAACCCGAGAGGUACCCCAAACUAACAAAAACGAC
RNAcentral lists this long non-coding RNA (339 nucleotides) under Gossypium raimondii (Peruvian cotton). RNAcentral's name for it is "long non-coding RNA (GRAI_LNC001412)". The record is from RNAcentral. Lineage: Eukaryota; Viridiplantae; Streptophyta; Magnoliopsida; Malvales; Malvaceae.